RNAcentral lists this ribosomal RNA (486 nucleotides) under uncultured bacterium. RNAcentral describes it as "bacterial SSU rRNA". It matches the Rfam family "Bacterial small subunit ribosomal RNA", at positions 30 to 514 of the family's 1533-position model. The record is from RNAcentral.
AUUGAACGCUGGCGGCAUGCCUUACACAUGCAAGUCGAACGGUAACGGGCCUUCGGGUGCCGACGAGUGGCGAACGGGUGAGUAAUGUAUCGGAACGUACCUUUCAGUGGGGGAUAACGUAGCGAAAGUUACGCUAAUACCGCAUAUUCUGUGCGCAGGAAAGCAGGGGAUCGCAAGACCUUGCGCUGAUUGAGCGGCCGAUAUCAGAUUAGCUAGUUGGCGGGGUAAAGGCCCACCAAGGCGACGAUCGAUAGCUGGUCUGAGAGGAUGAUCAGCCACACUGGAACUGAGACACGGUCCAGACUCCUACGGGAGGCAGCAGUAGGGAAUAUUGGACAAUGGGGGCAACCCUGAUCCAGCCAUGCCGCGUGAGUGAAGAAGGCCCUCGGGUUGUAAAGCUCUUUUGUCCGGAAGAAAGCAAUCGGUUAAUACCCGGUUGUUCUGACGGUACCGGAAGAUAAGCACCGGCUAACUUCGUGCCAGCAG